This 75-nucleotide transfer RNA is filed under the name Treponema pallidum. Its description in RNAcentral is "tRNA-Pro". It matches the Rfam family "tRNA". From Rfam's summary of the family: Transfer RNA (tRNA) molecules are approximately 80 nucleotides in length. The record is from RNAcentral. Lineage: Bacteria; Pseudomonadati; Spirochaetota; Spirochaetia; Treponematales; Treponemataceae. RNAcentral also lists the same sequence under 16 other names.
CGGGUGGUAGCGCAGUGGUAGCGCGCUCGGUUCGGGACUGAGAGGUCGGGGGUUCAAAUCCCCCUCGCCCGACCA